ACCAAAAUAGCUCAAUAGGUUAGAGUAAUGGUUUGAAGGACCAUAGGUAAUCAGUUCGAAUCUGAUUUUUGGUG
This is a non-coding RNA of Theileria equi strain WA, 74 nucleotides long. NCBI's taxonomy places the organism in Eukaryota, Apicomplexa, Aconoidasida, Piroplasmida, Theileriidae. The record is from Rfam.